AGUCAAUGAUCGAAAGAUUGAUCUAGUUACUUAGAAAGAUGAAUUAUCAAUAUACAUCCCUCAAGAAGGAACUAUGUUUUUUCUUGAAGGAAAUUUGAAUAAAAUUAGAAAAAAGAUAAAAUUGAUUAAAAAUAAAAUCUAAAUUAUAGAAAAAAUAAUGAUAAUCUAUAAUAAUAGUCUUAACCAAAAAUAGUGCCAGCAGUUGCGGUUACACUAUGAAGGCUAACGUUAAUCAUUAAGGCUUAAAGGAUCCGUAGAACGAUAUAUAAUUUCCUAUUAAAACCCGAUAGACGGACUAUGUUCGAUUCCCGGGGGGAGGAGAUAAAUAAAAUAUAUUAGAGUUUUAAGUAUGAUUAAAGAAUAAUUAUAGUAAAGAUGAAAUAAUUAUGAUAAUAAUUAGACUGUUAAAGGUGAAAACAUUAAUCAAAAAUAAAACUGACGUUGAGGGAUGAAGGCAUAAGUAGCAAAACGGAUUCGAUACCCGAUUAGUUUAUGCAGUAAACGAUGAAUACUUCUAUGAAUAAAAUUUGUAGUAAGUGAAAACGUAAGUAUUCCGCCUGGUGAGUAUAUUCGCAAGGAUGAAAUCCAAGACAAUAGACGGUUACAGAUAAAGGCAGUGGAUUGUGUUAU
Molecule: ribosomal RNA, 630 nt
Filed under: Komagataella pastoris
Lineage: Eukaryota; Fungi; Ascomycota; Pichiomycetes; Pichiales; Pichiaceae
Description: partial small subunit ribosomal RNA
Rfam family: Bacterial small subunit ribosomal RNA
Source: RNAcentral